GUGAAUCAUCGAAUCUUUGAACGCAAAUUGCACUCUCUGGUAUUCCGGAGAGUAUGCCUGUUUGAGGGUCAGUAUAAAUAAAAAUCGGUGUGGUUGCUGCCUUUCGUGGUGACGUACCGGAUGUGGGUCGUCUUGCCUUCGGUUAAGUUGCCUAGAAUUUUUCAUGAUUCUUUCGAACGUCUUUAACUGG
RNAcentral lists this unclassified non-coding RNA (190 nucleotides) under Glomeraceae sp. RNAcentral describes it as "partial contains 5.8S ribosomal RNA and internal transcribed spacer 2". The stretch from base 1 to 71 matches the Rfam family "5.8S ribosomal RNA", at positions 84 to 154 of the family's 154-position model. Lineage: Eukaryota; Fungi; Glomeromycota; Glomeromycetes; Glomerales; Glomeraceae. The record is from RNAcentral.